GUUGCAGGGUAUAGACCCGAAACCCGGUGAUCUAGCCAUGGGCAGGUUGAAGGUUGGGUAACACUAACUGGAGGACCGAACCGACUAAUGUUGAAAAAUUAGCGGAUGACUUGUGGCUGGGGGUGAAAGGCCAAUCAAACCGGGAGAUAGCUGGUUCUCCCCGAAAGCUAUUUAGGUAGCGCCUCGUGAAUUCAUCUCCGGGGGUAGAGCACUGUUUCGGCAAGGGGGUCAUCCCGACUUACCAACCCGAUGCAAACUGCGAAUACCGGAGAAUGUUAUCACGGGAGACACACGGCGGGUGCUAACGUCCGUCGUGAAGAGGGAAACAACCCAGACCGCCAGCUAAGGUCCCAAAGUCAUGGUUAAGUGGGAAACGAUGUGGGAAGGCCCAGACAGCCAGGAUGUUGGCUUAGAAGCAGCCAUCAUUUAAAGAAAGCGUAAUAGCUCACUGGUCGAGUCGGCCUGCGCGGAAGAUGUAACGGGGCUAAACCAUGCACCGAAGCUGCGGCAGCGACACUAUGUGUUGUUGGGUAGGGGAGCG
This 541-nucleotide ribosomal RNA is filed under the name Escherichia coli. RNAcentral's name for it is "partial 23S ribosomal RNA". It matches the Rfam family "Bacterial large subunit ribosomal RNA", at positions 699 to 1238 of the family's 2925-position model. Lineage: Bacteria; Pseudomonadati; Pseudomonadota; Gammaproteobacteria; Enterobacterales; Enterobacteriaceae. The record is from RNAcentral.